GGAGAGAUGCCAGAGCGGUCGAAUGGGGCGGUCUCGAAAACCGUUGCACGAGUGAUCGUGCCGGGGGUUCGAAUCCCCCUCUCUCCGCCA
This 90-nucleotide transfer RNA is filed under the name Holosporales bacterium. RNAcentral describes it as "tRNA-Ser". It matches the Rfam family "tRNA". Rfam says of the family: Transfer RNA (tRNA) molecules are approximately 80 nucleotides in length. Their secondary structure includes four short double-helical elements and three loops (D, anti-codon, and T loops). The record is from RNAcentral. Lineage: Bacteria; Pseudomonadati; Pseudomonadota; Alphaproteobacteria; Holosporales.